RNAcentral lists this long non-coding RNA (2351 nucleotides) under Citrus x clementina. RNAcentral describes it as "Citrus clementina (C. clementina) long non-coding RNA (CCLE_LNC003630)". The record is from RNAcentral. Lineage: Eukaryota; Viridiplantae; Streptophyta; Magnoliopsida; Sapindales; Rutaceae.
CCACAGUUCCCUUAUUUUCCCAACUGCUUAUAAUUCAACUUGCGCACAAUAAAAAACCCCCCUGUGACUCCAAUUUCCUUUUCUUCUGCUUCAAUUCUAGUUCUAUGUUUAAAAUACGUUGGUUAAAUCUUUAACGUUUCCGAAAGUUCUUUUCCAGAAGCACUUCUCAAGUGCUUAUUCAAACAAAAAGCACAUUGGUCCUCCCUAAAGAGUACCUAAAUUGGUUGGGUUUUGUUUUGUGUGUGUGUGUGUGUGUGUGUAUAAAUAUAAGAGGUGAUGAAAUGGAGGGCGUGACAAAAUGACUGUUACACGAAGACUGUCGAGGUGAAUAAUCUAAAUUUAUGCAAAAUGGUUUUGUUGUUACAUUCCUAGUUUUCACCGAAGAAGCAGCAAACACAUAAAUAAUAUCAAAAAAUGGUUAACUUAUAAGGACACUUUUUUUUUUCGUCGAACCCCUUUACGUUAAACCCAAAUAUAUAUAUAUAUUUGCAUGUAUAUAUGUAUACUCUUAUGAAAUGUGUUUCCAUACAUAUAGUGGAUUCUUUUAAUAACCAAUUACAAUGGUACCAUACACAUAUAGCUAAGGAGAGCAGCAACUUUGAUUAGAGAAGUGGGUUAAUAAAAGGAAAUUAUUCGAAAUUGACAACACCGCAACUCUUAUAAAUAAUGGUGACUGGAUCGACUCUGGACCACUCCUCUAAUUUUUUUUAUUUAUUUAUUAUUAUUAUUAUUUUGUUGUUGUUGUACGAUUUCAUCAUCACUUUAAUUUUGUUUGCUGCUGCAAUUUGACAGAUCGAGUAGAUCCGCCAAAUUUGUGUGGUGGCCCCCAUUUCGAUUGAUGAUUGAAGGGUGUGGAUAUAAAGGCAGGAAUGGUUUUGGUCGAUUGUCGUAAUCAAACGGUCAAAUGCGCGGUGCGGUAUGUAAAAGAAAAAAAAAAAAAUUUGUCGUAACUUUUUCGAUCAGAUUUGUGAUGAUUUUUACGAUUGAGUUCAAAAUGAACUAGAUGUAUUUCAAAUAUUUAGAAAACAAAAAUCGACUCUGUGGUAUAUUUAUAUAUAGGACAAAUUAUUUAGUAAGUAUUUGUGUCCACUAUAUAAUGAGCACUCGGCACUGAACACAUAAUAAAAUUUUAUAACUCCUAAUGAAUAGUAUUGAAGUUGUAAAUUAAUCAGACAAUAUAGUGAUAAUGUCGUUCAUCAUAAGGUAAGUAUUGUCUCCCGCUGCAAUCAAUACUCUUAAUAUAAAUAAACGCAGAAGACUCUUUACUACCUACCAAGAAUACUCUAAUUAAUGGCUCAUUUGGAAUUACUUCUAAGUAGAUUCAAAAAUCAUUUUGAAACACUUAAAAGCCAAUUUUGGGGUUUAGUAAUUUUUUUAAAAAAAAAUAUAUUUUUGCCAAAAUUAUCUAUCUUACAACAGAUUUUGAUAAGUAUGGAAGGAAUAGCUUUUUAAAAUUUAAUUUUAUAUUUACAAUUUCACAUAAAUUAUAAAAAUCUAAAAUUAUUCAUAUUCAAUUGGAAAAUUUAAUCAUUAAAUUAAAUAGAUUUUAUUAUUUAUUAUAUUGAGAUAAUUAUAAUAUAAAAAAAUGACACGAAUAAAAUGAAAAUAUUUAUUUUACCUAAUCAAUUAUUAUAUAUAAACAAUAAUACAUAUUUAUAAAUGUAUAAAUAAACUUUAUUCAAUAUUAUAUCAAUUUCAGUCAUUUGCAUUCUUAUUGUAGAAUUUACCAAGUACAGAUGAUUGCUUUUAAGACUUGCAGCAUUUUUUAAAAUAAAUUUCACUAAAUAUUUAAUUGAAUCUUUUAACAGCUGAUUAUUUUUAUAGCACAACUAAUAACAAUUAUUUUAAAAGUUACAGUAUUACUAAACUGAUCCUAAGCCUUUAGGGUUAUGUUAUAUAAUUUCUAUAUAAAUUAUAGGACGUUUUAUUAUUUUUGUGGAAGAUUACCAUACGAGUUGAAGUGGGUGUUCAAAAGAUGCUCCGAAAUUAAGAUAACCUAUCCUAAAUCUUGAAAUUAAUACGAUAUCUCUUUCAUAAUUGCUUAAGUUUAUCUUUUCUUGGUUGGCUAGAAAGGCAUCAAAAUCUUGAACUUCUGCUUCGUAGCACCACCAAUGGCUCCCUAGCAAUGAUGUAACACCUUGUUUUCAACUAUUUGGGCGCAUCUAUAAGUAAAUAUUAGUGUUUUUUUUUUUAAUUUAUCAGAAACAAUUUCUUUUUUUUUUUUUUUUUUUGGGUUGUAUGUGCAACUCGUGUACUUGCGCUUUGUGUGUUAUAAAACAUUUGUAACUCCGAACGACAAUGUUGUUACCAAUAAUUAAAAAAAAAUUCGUACAAAUAACGGAAAAGCUAUG